UUUCCGUAGGUGAACCUGCGGAAGGAUCAUUCAUAAUAAAGUGUUUUAUGGCACUUUUUAAAAAUCCAUAUCCACCUUGUGUGCAAUGUUAGAUCUCGUCAAUCUUGGCGAGAUUUUUAUACAUCAACUCAUUUUUUAACUAAUUUGACUGAAAAAUAUUAUGAAUACUUAAUUCAAAAUACAACUUUCAACAACGGAUCUCUUGGCUCUC
RNAcentral lists this unclassified non-coding RNA (211 nucleotides) under plant metagenome. Its description in RNAcentral is "partial contains small subunit ribosomal RNA, internal transcribed spacer 1, and 5.8S ribosomal RNA". The record is from RNAcentral.